UUGGAGUUCUGUAGGCUUCUUGCAU
RNAcentral lists this non-coding RNA (25 nucleotides) under Mus musculus (house mouse). Lineage: Eukaryota; Metazoa; Chordata; Mammalia; Rodentia; Muridae. The record is from RNAcentral.